Long non-coding RNA from Oncorhynchus tshawytscha (Chinook salmon), 1072 nucleotides. The record is from Ensembl. NCBI's taxonomy places the organism in Eukaryota, Metazoa, Chordata, Actinopteri, Salmoniformes, Salmonidae.
CGGUUUCCCAAGAACCGCACUUACCUCCCCCGGAAUGCUUCGUUGGAGAGUCGGGAACCUGUCGGGUAUUUCUCACACAGUGUUCUCUUAUCAUCGAGCUGCAGGCCUCCUCCUUCCCCUUCGACCACUCGAAGAUAGCAUACCUCAUCACGCUGAUGUCCGCGAGGGCUCUCGCCUGGGCUACGUCCGUGUGGGAACAACAGUCGGCCAUAUGCUUCAGUCUGGAGGAGUUUGUGGCGGAGGUUUUCAAUUCUCAAUUGUCCAGGAGAAAGGCUGCCCGGAAGUUACUCCAGCUUUGGCAAGACUCCCGCAGUGUGGCAGACUAUGCAGUGGAUUUCUGUACAUUGGCAGCUGAGAGUGCCUGGAACCGGGAAACGCUGUUCGACGCGUUCCUGCAUGGAUUAUCGGAGGAAGUGAAGGACGAGGUAGCAGCCUGGGAACUACCGACCAAUCGCAACUCGCUCAUUGCCUUGACAAUCCGGAUCGAUGGACGGCUACGGGAAUGUAGGAAGGAGAGGAGUUCCGAUUCCACUCGCUCGCCCAAGGAUUCCACUUCGCCUCCGAGUCAUCCCGGAAAUCCAUUACGUGUCCAUUACGUCUCCGAAAUCUGCUGAUUCACCUUUUCCCAAUGGCCGAUGAGCACCGAUACGUUUUAUCCAUGAUUUCUCUUCAUAUGAAAAGGAUUUGCCAGUAGAUUCGAAACUGCACACGGCACCAUCGCUUGGAGAAACAGGCGACAUCUUCAGGCUUUUCCAGAGUCACCUACUCCAGAGAGACAGAAGCAGAACAACAAAGGAGUCACCCAGUCUACCAGUGAGGACAGCACACAGGCCCCAACUGUGAGCCAGCCAACUCCCAUCCCCUCACUCAGAUCACCACCUCAGCCAGCCUCACCACAACUAGUGAGAAUAACCUUGAGAAGUCAAGAGGCCCCAGAGUCUGCAACACCACUAAGCAAGGGGCACCGCACCACGAAGCAAGCGGCACCAUGAAGACCAAGGAGCUCUCCAAACAGUCUCAUCAGGUACUUGAUGGCCCCAGGAACUACAUGAAGCUCGCCGUCUGCAUUUUU